GCUGGUGAUAGAUUGGUUGUAGUGGAUUUUUACUCACCUGGUUAUGGAGAUUGUAGAGCUCUCCAUCCCAAGUUUAUUCUUCAGGAUUUGUUGCUUUUGCCAAGAAAACAUGUGAGGACGGCAUUCUGCUUGAAGCUUGUUAGACCAAUUGGUUGCUUUCUAUUUGGUGAUGUUAGUGGUAACUGAUAAUGGGUUCAAACUGCAUCUUCCACAUAUCUUAAUUUUAUCAGAUUGAUUAAAGUUGGGGGUUGUACUGUAACCCUCCACUCGGGGAAAUUUAUAUUUUCAUAUUGGCAGAAGUUGGAUCCCAUAUUAGAUCAAAUUAUGCUGAAAUCUUUGUGGUUGGCCAUCAAAUUACAGAUUUUCUACCAACUAAUUAAACUAAGGGUACUAAUACAAUUUUGAGUAAAAUCAUCAUGUGAAAGGUGCUUAUUUGCAGAUUUAUUUUAUAGUUUAUAUUUUUAUCAAAGCAACUUUGUUGAAGUAUUACCAAUACAUGGCUAACGUUUAUAUGGCAGCAAGUUGGCAAAUCUGCAG
Molecule: long non-coding RNA, 537 nt
Filed under: Rosa chinensis
Lineage: Eukaryota; Viridiplantae; Streptophyta; Magnoliopsida; Rosales; Rosaceae
Description: sRNA RchiOBHm_Chr6g0261581
Source: RNAcentral